CGCGGGGUGGAGCAGCCCGGUAGCUCGUCAGGCUCAUAACCUGAAGAUCGCAGGUUCAAAUCCUGCCCCCGCGUCCA
RNAcentral lists this transfer RNA (77 nucleotides) under Methylocystis sp. MJC1. RNAcentral's name for it is "tRNA-Met". It matches the Rfam family "tRNA". From Rfam's summary of the family: Transfer RNA (tRNA) molecules are approximately 80 nucleotides in length. Their secondary structure includes four short double-helical elements and three loops (D, anti-codon, and T loops). The record is from RNAcentral. Lineage: Bacteria; Pseudomonadati; Pseudomonadota; Alphaproteobacteria; Hyphomicrobiales; Methylocystaceae.